RNAcentral lists this long non-coding RNA (307 nucleotides) under Theobroma cacao (cacao). RNAcentral's name for it is "long non-coding RNA (TCAC_LNC001092)". Lineage: Eukaryota; Viridiplantae; Streptophyta; Magnoliopsida; Malvales; Malvaceae. The record is from RNAcentral.
UGUACCCUUGUAUUAUGCUGAUAUGCAUUAUUAAUAAAUUAUGGUGAAAUUGAUGCAACCGUGCAUGUGCGGAGUGGGAAGUGCAAUGCCAGUUGAAUGACAAAGGAUGUGAUAAUUACGACCGUGCAUGUGCGGAGUGGGAAGUGCAAUGCCGGUUUAAUGAUAAAGGUUGUGGGGACGGCAAUACGUAACGCCCACAAUUUCCUAAAAAUUCAGAAGUGUGCAAAAAGGGAUACUGAGUGACACCCUUUACCGAGUACUCCGAUAAUUAUUUCUAUGUACCACCAAGAAUAAUGAAGACUUGGCG